GGCGAACGGGUGAGUAACACGUGAGUAACCUGCCCUUGACUUCGGGAUAACUUCAGGAAACUGGGGCUAAUACCGGAUAGGAAUCCUUGCUGCAUGGUGGGGGUUGGAAAGCUUCGGCGGUUUUGGAUGGACUCGCGGCUUAUCAGCUUGUUGGUGGGGUAGUGGCUUACCAAGGCUUUGACGGGUAGCCGGCCUGAGAGGGCGACCGGCCACAUUGGGACUGAGAUACGGCCCAGACUCCUACGGGAGGCAGCAGUGGGGAAUAUUGCACAAUGGGCGGAAGCCUGAUGCAGCAACGCCGCGUGCGGGAUGACGGCCUUCGGGUUGUAAACCGCUUUCAGCAGGGGCGAAGCUUUUGUGACGGUACCUGCAGAAGAAGCACCGGCUAACUACGUGCCAGCAGCCGCGGUGAUACGUAGGGUGCGAGCGUUGUCCGGAUUUAUUGGGCGUAAAGAGCUCGUAGGUGGUUGAUUGCGUCGGAAGUGAA
RNAcentral lists this ribosomal RNA (487 nucleotides) under Streptococcus pneumoniae. RNAcentral describes it as "bacterial SSU rRNA". It matches the Rfam family "Bacterial small subunit ribosomal RNA", at positions 97 to 598 of the family's 1533-position model. The record is from RNAcentral. Lineage: Bacteria; Bacillati; Bacillota; Bacilli; Lactobacillales; Streptococcaceae.